This 568-nucleotide ribosomal RNA is filed under the name uncultured stramenopile. RNAcentral describes it as "bacterial SSU rRNA". It matches the Rfam family "Bacterial small subunit ribosomal RNA", at positions 11 to 618 of the family's 1533-position model. The record is from RNAcentral.
GUUUGAUCAUGGCUCAGGAUGAACGCUGGCGGUAUGCUUUAUACAUGCAAGUCGUACGAGAGUUUUUAACUCAAGUGGCGGACGGGUGAGUAACACGUAAGAAUUUGCCUUUAGGAGGGGGAUAACAACUGGAAACGGUUGCUAAUACCCCAUAUGCUUUUGAGUGAAAUGGAUUUUUCCGCCUAAAGAGAAGCUUGCGGCUGAUUAGCUUGUUGGUAAGGUAAUGGCUUACCAAGGCGACGAUCAGUAUCUGGUUUGAGAGGACGAUCAGACACACUGGAACUGAGACACGGUCCAGACUCCUACGGGAGGCAGCAGUAGGGAAUUUUCCGCAAUGGGCGAAAGCCUGACGGAGCAAUACCGCGUGAGGGAUGACGGCCUAUGGGUUGUAAACCUCUUUUUUCAGGGAGGAACAAAAUGACGUGUACCUGAAGAAUAAGCAUCGGUUAACUCCGUGCCAGCAGCCGCGGUAAGACGGAGGAUGCAAGUGUUAUCCGGAAUCACUGGGCGUAAAGCGUCUGUAGGUGGUCAAAUAAGUCAACUGUUAAAUCUUGAGGCUCAACCUCAA